CUGGCGGCGUGCUUAANACAUGCAAGUCGAACGAGAGGAGAAGGGAAGCUUGCUCUUUCGAAUCUAGUGGCAAACGGGUGAGUAACACGUAAACAACCUGCCUUCAGGAUGGGGACAACAGACGGAAACGACUGCUAAUACCGAAUACGUUCCUUAGGUCGCAUGACUUUAGGAAGAAAGGGUGGCCUCUACUUGUAAGCUAUCGCCUGAAGAGGGGUUUGCGUCUGAUUAGCUAGUUGGUGAGGUAACGGCCCACCAAGGCGACGAUCAGUAGCCGGACUGAGAGGUUGACCGGCCACAUUGGGACUGAGAUACGGCCCAGACUCCUACGGGAGGCAGCAGUGGGGAAUAUUGGGCAAUGGGGGAAACCCUGACCCAGCAACGCCGCGUGAAGGAAGAAGGCCUUCGGGUUGUAAACUUCUUUUACCAGGGACGAAGGACGUGACGGUACCUGGAGAAAAAGCAACGGCUAACUACGUG
RNAcentral lists this ribosomal RNA (480 nucleotides) under uncultured bacterium. RNAcentral describes it as "bacterial SSU rRNA". It matches the Rfam family "Bacterial small subunit ribosomal RNA", at positions 36 to 507 of the family's 1533-position model. The record is from RNAcentral.